Ruminococcus sp. CAG:563 is the source of this 128-nucleotide regulatory RNA element. It matches the Rfam family "FMN riboswitch aptamer (RFN element)". From Rfam's summary of the family: The RFN element is a highly conserved domain that is found frequently in the 5'-untranslated regions of prokaryotic mRNAs that encode for flavin mononucleotide (FMN) biosynthesis and transport proteins. Lineage: Bacteria; Bacillati; Bacillota; Clostridia; Eubacteriales; Oscillospiraceae. The record is from Rfam.
AGUUGUCUUCGGGGCGGGGCGAAAUUCCCCACCGACGGUAAUGGGAUUCAAUCCACAAGCCCGUGAGCGAAAGUUGAUUCGGUGAGAUUCCGAAGCCGACGGUACAGUCCGGAUGAGAGAAGAUUUGU